RNAcentral lists this ribosomal RNA (245 nucleotides) under uncultured archaeon. RNAcentral describes it as "partial 16S ribosomal RNA". It matches the Rfam family "Archaeal small subunit ribosomal RNA", at positions 474 to 677 of the family's 1478-position model. The record is from RNAcentral.
CACUAGCGGCCCGAGUGGUGUCCACGAAUAUUGGGUCUAAAGAGUCCGUAGCUGGUCCGUUAAGUUUCCUGUGAAAUUUCAGGGCUCAACUCUGAAGCGUGCAGGAAAUACUGGCGAGACUUGAGAGCGGGGGAGGUCUAGAGUACUCAUGGGGUAACGGUAAAAAGCUUUGCUUGCGAGCAAAAUUUGCAAGCCUAGCUUGCAAUGUUGUAAUCCUAUGAGGACUUCCAGUGGCGAAGGCGCUA